RNAcentral lists this long non-coding RNA (319 nucleotides) under Gossypium barbadense (sea-island cotton). RNAcentral describes it as "long non-coding RNA (GBAR_LNC021817)". Lineage: Eukaryota; Viridiplantae; Streptophyta; Magnoliopsida; Malvales; Malvaceae. The record is from RNAcentral.
AAGCUUGUGUUGACUGCAUGGUGAGUUUUUAAGUCCCGUUUUUAAUGAUUUUAUGUUUUUGAGUUCGUUUUAGCUUAAUCUAGCUAGCCUGGGGUUAAUUUUCAAAAUUGUUAAAGGUUGAGGGACUUAUCAUGAAUUAUUUUGAAUGAUUUUUGAUGUUAAUUGAUAGAUUAUAAAUCCUAGUUGAAAAAUAAACAAGUUUUGUAAAGUUAUUUUUUUUUAUGAAUUUUGGAAUUAGGGAUUAAAUUGUUAAAGGUGUAAAUCUAUAUGUUUCACUGUGAAAUGAUAGUAAAUAUGGGUUGCUUCAAGGUCCCUUUUA